This is a long non-coding RNA of Marmota flaviventris (yellow-bellied marmot), 407 nucleotides long. RefSeq lists it as uncharacterized. The record is from RefSeq and is a predicted model, not a curated record. NCBI's taxonomy places the organism in Eukaryota, Metazoa, Chordata, Mammalia, Rodentia, Sciuridae.
CGGAAGGGCAUGCUGUUUGGUUCUUUAAAACUUCCUGCCAAACUGAAGAAACUGAGAAACUGAACAUACACAGAUAUUUGGGGACUAACUAGGAAGGAUAUAAGCAGACAACUUAAAAAUAUUUCAAACAACAGCCCCUUGAUGCAGUCACUUUGGAGUUUUAAAAGAAUGCCAGCAGGCAGCUCCACCUGACGUUCAUGCAGGAAAUAUAAUGCAAGAGGAAGAGCAGCAGACUCCUCUUCCCAAUUCAGAUUCUGCGUCUUGACCAGCUACUAUGAAGUUACCCCGCCUUUGAGUCACCAUACACAAAACAAGGACAGCAAACUAUGCCUGCCAAAUGAUAGAAGCUACCUGGAAACAGGAUGUGAUGUGCUUCGUCCAAAAUAAAAUAUUUUUCUCAUGUUAAA